CCGACGGCUGAAGGAGAGAUCCAUUUGAGGUACACUUGAAAUACACUGUCUAUGUUCUUGACAAUGGAAGAAGGAGGCUUUUUCUAUUAUUCAACUUUUGUUUACGGAUUAAAUGCUCAACAUGGUGUUAAUUUAAGCACACCUACGUCUUUUAGCAAUCCUGUUGCUGGAGGUAAUAAUAGUAUGGACAUGGGGGUAGUUGUUCGCUCUAGCAGACCUUUCGCAAUGGUUGAUGAAAUUACAAAAGGAUCUUUAGCAGCAGCAGAUGGCUUACAGCUUGGAAAUCAAAUUGUAAAAUUUGGGAAUAUGAAAAUAGGUGAGAACUUGGUACAGAAGCUUACAACUGAAGCUUAGAUAAAUCAGAGCCAUGCAAUGCUUGUGGUAGUUAUGGGGCAAGGUGUUUUCAUAAAUUUGACCAUAAAACCCAACUCUUGGCAAUGUCAUGACCUACUUGGUAAACCGACAAUGAGAAGUUAGCUGAUGAUGAAGAGGAAACUAAGGGGAAGUACAUCCAUGGUGAUGUAUUCAAGUACCUGAAAUACAAAUUUUUGUUUAUAAUAAAUGAUGGUUCAACCUUAGUAUCCUUUAUUAUAUUUUCCAA
Olea europaea var. sylvestris is the source of this 601-nucleotide long non-coding RNA. RefSeq lists it as uncharacterized. The record is from RefSeq and is a predicted model, not a curated record. The transcript has 3 exons. NCBI's taxonomy places the organism in Eukaryota, Viridiplantae, Streptophyta, Magnoliopsida, Lamiales, Oleaceae.